RNAcentral lists this ribosomal RNA (1540 nucleotides) under Enterobacter cloacae. RNAcentral's name for it is "bacterial SSU rRNA". It matches the Rfam family "Bacterial small subunit ribosomal RNA". Lineage: Bacteria; Pseudomonadati; Pseudomonadota; Gammaproteobacteria; Enterobacterales; Enterobacteriaceae. RNAcentral also lists the same sequence under 4 other names. The record is from RNAcentral.
AAAUUGAAGAGUUUGAUCAUGGCUCAGAUUGAACGCUGGCGGCAGGCCUAACACAUGCAAGUCGAACGGUAGCACAGAGAGCUUGCUCUCGGGUGACGAGUGGCGGACGGGUGAGUAAUGUCUGGGAAACUGCCUGAUGGAGGGGGAUAACUACUGGAAACGGUAGCUAAUACCGCAUAACGUCGCAAGACCAAAGAGGGGGACCUUCGGGCCUCUUGCCAUCAGAUGUGCCCAGAUGGGAUUAGCUAGUAGGUGGGGUAACGGCUCACCUAGGCGACGAUCCCUAGCUGGUCUGAGAGGAUGACCAGCCACACUGGAACUGAGACACGGUCCAGACUCCUACGGGAGGCAGCAGUGGGGAAUAUUGCACAAUGGGCGCAAGCCUGAUGCAGCCAUGCCGCGUGUAUGAAGAAGGCCUUCGGGUUGUAAAGUACUUUCAGCGGGGAGGAAGGUGUUGUGGUUAAUAACCGCAGCAAUUGACGUUACCCGCAGAAGAAGCACCGGCUAACUCCGUGCCAGCAGCCGCGGUAAUACGGAGGGUGCAAGCGUUAAUCGGAAUUACUGGGCGUAAAGCGCACGCAGGCGGUCUGUCAAGUCGGAUGUGAAAUCCCCGGGCUCAACCUGGGAACUGCAUUCGAAACUGGCAGGCUAGAGUCUUGUAGAGGGGGGUAGAAUUCCAGGUGUAGCGGUGAAAUGCGUAGAGAUCUGGAGGAAUACCGGUGGCGAAGGCGGCCCCCUGGACAAAGACUGACGCUCAGGUGCGAAAGCGUGGGGAGCAAACAGGAUUAGAUACCCUGGUAGUCCACGCCGUAAACGAUGUCGAUUUGGAGGUUGUGCCCUUGAGGCGUGGCUUCCGGAGCUAACGCGUUAAAUCGACCGCCUGGGGAGUACGGCCGCAAGGUUAAAACUCAAAUGAAUUGACGGGGGCCCGCACAAGCGGUGGAGCAUGUGGUUUAAUUCGAUGCAACGCGAAGAACCUUACCUGGUCUUGACAUCCACAGAACUUUCCAGAGAUGGAUUGGUGCCUUCGGGAACUGUGAGACAGGUGCUGCAUGGCUGUCGUCAGCUCGUGUUGUGAAAUGUUGGGUUAAGUCCCGCAACGAGCGCAACCCUUAUCCUUUGUUGCCAGCGGUUAGGCCGGGAACUCAAAGGAGACUGCCAGUGAUAAACUGGAGGAAGGUGGGGAUGACGUCAAGUCAUCAUGGCCCUUACGACCAGGGCUACACACGUGCUACAAUGGCGCAUACAAAGAGAAGCGACCUCGCGAGAGCAAGCGGACCUCAUAAAGUGCGUCGUAGUCCGGAUUGGAGUCUGCAACUCGACUCCAUGAAGUCGGAAUCGCUAGUAAUCGUAGAUCAGAAUGCUACGGUGAAUACGUUCCCGGGCCUUGUACACACCGCCCGUCACACCAUGGGAGUGGGUUGCAAAAGAAGUAGGUAGCUUAACCUUCGGGAGGGCGCUUACCACUUUGUGAUUCAUGACUGGGGUGAAGUCGUAACAAGGUAACCGUAGGGGAACCUGCGGUUGGAUCACCUCCUUA